This 397-nucleotide long non-coding RNA is filed under the name Homo sapiens (human). RNAcentral describes it as "non-protein coding lnc-LMX1A-3:1". The record is from RNAcentral. Lineage: Eukaryota; Metazoa; Chordata; Mammalia; Primates; Hominidae.
CCCAAAGCCACCCUAGAUUCAAAGAUUGGAAAACGGACACCACCUAUACCAUCUCUUGAAGUCAUCUUCAGAUCAUGAGAAUUAAAAGUGCUAUUAUGGAUGGAAGAAGAGGAAACUACAAAUGGCUUGGAUCCUUGAUUUCAAGGAAAACUAUAUGGAUUCCCAAGCAAUAUGUAAAACCAUAUCAGUCCUUGACUACCCACCUCUGGACUUAUUAUAUAAGAAAAAUAAUUCUGUAUUUUCUGAAAAAACUGUGAUUGUUCUACGAAUACGUGUAGCCAAACACUAUUUUAACCAACACAGCAACUGAAGUUGAUCACAAGAGUAUGAACUGAUAUUAGCAAUACAAGUGGCUCAGAGAAAAAAUAAAGAGUUCAUUUUCCUCCCCAAAACAAGC